AGGGAAACCGAGUCUUAACUGGGCGUUAAGUUGCAGGGUAUAGACCCGAAACCCGGUGAUCUAGCCAUGGGCAGGUUGAAGGUUGGGUAACACUAACUGGAGGACCGAACCGACUAAUGUUGAAAAAUUAGCGGAUGACUUGUGGCUGGGGGUGAAAGGCCAAUCAAACCGGGAGAUAGCUGGUUCUCCCCGAAAGCUAUUUAGGUAGCGCCUCGUGAAUUCAUCUCCGGGGGUAGAGCACUGUUUCGGCAAGGGGGUCAUCCCGACUUACCAACCCGAUGCAAACUGCGAAUACCGGAGAAUGUUAUCACGGGAGACACACGGCGGGUGCUAACGUCCGUCGUGAAGAGGGAAACAACCCAGACCGCCAGCUAAGGUCCCAAAGUCAUGGUUAAGUGGGAAACGAUGUGGGAAGGCCCAGACAGCCAGGAUGUUGGCUUAGAAGCAGCCAUCAUUUAAAGAAAGCGUAAUAGCUCACUGGUCGAGUCGGCCUGCGCGGAAGAUGUAACGGGGCUAAACCAUGCACCGAAGCUGCGGCAGCGACGCUUAUGCGUUGUUGGGUAGGGGAGCGUUCUGUAAGCCUGCGAAGGUGUGCUGUGAGGCAUGCUGGAGGUAUCAGAAGUGCGAAUGCUGACAUAAGUAACGAUAAAGCGGGUGAAAAGCCCGCUCGCCGGAAGACCAAGGGUUCCUGUCCAACGUUAAUCGGGGCAGGGUGAGUCGACCCCUAAGGCGAGGCCGAAAGGCGUAGUCGAUGGGAAACAGGUUAAUAUUCCUGUACUUGGUGUUACUGCGAAGGGGGGACGGAGAAGGCUAUGUUGGCCGGGCGACGGUUGUCCCGGUUUAAGCGUGUAGGCUGGUUUUCCAGGCAAAUCCGGAAAAUCAAGGCUGAGGCGUGAUGACGAGGCACUACGGUGCUGAAGCAACAAAUGCCCUGCUUCCAGGAAAAGCCUCUAAGCAUCAGGUAACAUCAAAUCGUACCCCAAACCGACACAGGUGGUCAGGUAGAGAAUACCAAGGCGCUUGAGAGAACUCGGGUGAAGGAACUAGGCAAAAUGGUGCCGUAACUUCGGGAGAAGGCACGCUGAUAUGUAGGUGAAGCGACUUGCUCGUGGAGCUGAAAUCAGUCGAAGAUACCAGCUGGCUGCAACUGUUUAUUAAAAACACAGCACUGUGCAAACACGAAAGUGGACGUAUACGGUGUGACGCCUGCCCGGUGCCGGAAGGUUAAUUGAUGGGGUUAGCGGUAACGCGAAGCUCUUGAUCGAAGCCCCGGUAAACGGCGGCCGUAACUAUAACGGUCCUAAGGUAGCGAAAUUCCUUGUCGGGUAAGUUCCGACCUGCACGAAUGGCGUAAUGAUGGCCAGGCUGUCUCCACCCGAGACUCAGUGAAAUUGAACUCGCUGUGAAGAUGCAGUGUACCCGCGGCAAGACGGAAAGACCCCGUGAACCUUUACUAUAGCUUGACACUGAACAUUGAGCCUUGAUGUGUAGGAUAGGUGGGAGGCUUUGAAGUGUGGACGCCAGUCUGCAUGGAGCCGACCUUGAAAUACCACCCUUUAAUGUUUGAUGUUCUAACGUUGGCCCGUAAUCCGGGUUGCGGACAGUGUCUGGUGGGUAGUUUGACUGGGGCGGUCUCCUCCUAAAGAGUAACGGAGGAGCACGAAGGUUGGCUAAUCCUGGUCGGACAUCAGGAGGUUAGUGCAAUGGCAUAAGCCAGCUUGACUGCGAGCGUGACGGCGCGAGCAGGUGCGAAAGCAGGUCAUAGUGAUCCGGUGGUUCUGAAUGGAAGGGCCAUCGCUCAACGGAUAAAAGGUACUCCGGGGAUAACAGGCUGAUACCGCCCAAGAGUUCAUAUCGACGGCGGUGUUUGGCACCUCGAUGUCGGCUCAUCACAUCCUGGGGCUGAAGUAGGUCCCAAGGGUAUGGCUGUUCGCCAUUUAAAGUGGUACGCGAGCUGGGUUUAGAACGUCGUGAGACAGUUCGGUCCCUAUCUGCCGUGGGCGCUGGAGAACUGAGGGGGGCUGCUCCUAGUACGAGAGGACCGGAGUGGACGCAUCACUGGUGUUCGGGUUGUCAUGCCAAUGGCACUGCCCGGUAGCUAAAUGCGGAAGAGAUAAGUGCUGAAAGCAUCUAAGCACGAAACUUGCCCCGAGAUGAGUUCUCCCUGAGACUUUAAGUCUCCUGAAGGAACGUUGAAGACGACGACGUUGAUAGG
This 2215-nucleotide ribosomal RNA is filed under the name Escherichia coli. Its description in RNAcentral is "partial 23S ribosomal RNA". It matches the Rfam family "Bacterial large subunit ribosomal RNA", at positions 670 to 2860 of the family's 2925-position model. Lineage: Bacteria; Pseudomonadati; Pseudomonadota; Gammaproteobacteria; Enterobacterales; Enterobacteriaceae. The record is from RNAcentral.